RNAcentral lists this transfer RNA (68 nucleotides) under Sepiadarium kochi. Its description in RNAcentral is "tRNA-Gln". Lineage: Eukaryota; Metazoa; Mollusca; Cephalopoda; Sepiida; Sepiadariidae. The record is from RNAcentral.
UACAUAAUGGUGUAGGUGCACAUAAAUUUUUGGAUUUUAAGGAGAAAGAUCAGUUCUUUCUUUUGUGG